This 465-nucleotide ribosomal RNA is filed under the name Vreelandella stevensii. RNAcentral's name for it is "partial 16S ribosomal RNA". It matches the Rfam family "Bacterial small subunit ribosomal RNA", at positions 338 to 795 of the family's 1533-position model. Lineage: Bacteria; Pseudomonadati; Pseudomonadota; Gammaproteobacteria; Oceanospirillales; Halomonadaceae. The record is from RNAcentral.
CCUACGGGUGGCUGCAGUGGGGAAUAUUGGACAAUGGGGGGAACCCUGAUCCAGCCAUGCCGCGUGUGUGAAGAAGGCCCUCGGGUUGUAAAGCACUUUCAGUGAGGAAGAACGCCUGGUGGUUAAUACCCAUCAGGAAAGACAUCACUCACAGAAGAAGCACCGGCUAACUCCGUGCCAGCAGCCGCGGUAAUACGGAGGGUGCGAGCGUUAAUCGGAAUUACUGGGCGUAAAGCGCGCGUAGGUGGCUUGAUAAGCCGGUUGUGAAAGUCCCGGGCUCAACCUGGGAACGGCAUCCGGAACUGUCAAGCUAGAGUGCAGGAGAGGAAGGUAGAAUUCCCGGUGUAGCGGUGAAAUGCGUAGAGAUCGGGAGGAAUACCAGUGGCGAAGGCGGCCUUCUGGACUGACACUGACACUGAGGUGCGAAAGCGUGGGUAGCAAACAGGAUUAGAUACCCUAGUAGUC